Molecule: non-coding RNA, 207 nt
Filed under: Clostridioides difficile T11
Lineage: Bacteria; Bacillati; Bacillota; Clostridia; Peptostreptococcales; Peptostreptococcaceae
Also listed under: 2 other names
Description: T-box
Rfam family: T-box leader
About the family: Uncharged tRNA acts as the effector for transcription antitermination of genes in the T-box leader family. T-boxes are found upstream of many aminoacyl-tRNA synthetase genes and some amino acid biosynthetic genes usually in Gram-positive bacteria.
Source: RNAcentral
UAAAAAGCGGUGAAGGAAAAUAGUAAAAAACAGAUUGUAUUCAGAGAAUGAGUGGAUGGUGAGAACUCAUUACAAUGGUUUUUGAAUCUACUCUAGAGCUUCUAGUUAAAGCUAGACGGUUUACCUACGUUAUAGGUCUGAGAGGAUUAUACGUUUUAGUAUAAUCAAUUAGGGUGGCAACGCGGAUAAAAGAUUUUCGUCCCUUUU